CUCCCUAGGACCAAGGUCACUGCAGUAUUGGAUAGGACCUGAGGGAGUUAGCAGGGGGCUCAUGGUUAAGAGUGUGAACUACGGCUUAGGCCUACAGGGUUCCCUGCCCAGCUCCUCCACAAACCAGCUGUGCAACCCUAGACAAGUGAGGUCCAGAGAUAUAUCCAGAGAGGAGUGGAAGGGCUCGGAGACCUACAGCCCCAAUACUGCAUAUGGUGUGGACUUCCUGGUGCCCGUGAUGGGCUACAUCUGCCGCAUCUGCCACAAGUUCUAUCACAGCAACUCAGGGGCACAGCUCUCCCACUGCAAGUCCCUGGGCCACUUUGAGAACCUGCAGAAAUACAAGGCGGCCAAGAACCCCAGCCCCACCACCCGACCUGUGAGCCGCCGGUGCGCAAUCAACGCCCGGAACGCUUUGACAGCCCUGUUCACCUCCAGCGGCCGCCCACCCUCCCAGCCCAACACCCAGGACAAAACACCCAGCAAGGUGACGGCUCGACCCUCCCAGCCCCCACUACCUCGGCGCUCAACCCGCCUCAAAACCUGAUAGAGGGACCUUCCUGUCCCCGGCCUGCCUGGGUCCAGAUCUGCUAAUGCUUUUUAGGAGUCUGCCUGGAAACUUUGACAUGGUUCAUGUUUUUACUCAAAAUCCAAUAAAACAAGGUAGUUUGGCUGUG
Molecule: small RNA, 677 nt
Filed under: Pongo abelii (Sumatran orangutan)
Lineage: Eukaryota; Metazoa; Chordata; Mammalia; Primates; Hominidae
Description: processed transcript
Source: RNAcentral